RNAcentral lists this ribosomal RNA (495 nucleotides) under uncultured bacterium. RNAcentral's name for it is "partial 16S ribosomal RNA". It matches the Rfam family "Bacterial small subunit ribosomal RNA", at positions 28 to 507 of the family's 1533-position model. The record is from RNAcentral.
GACGAACGCUGGCGGCGUGCCUAAUACAUGCAAGUAGAACGCUGAAGGAGGAGCUUGCUCUUCUGGAUGAGUUGCGAACGGGUGAGUAACGCGUAGGUAACCUGCCUGGUAGCGGGGGAUAACUCUUGGAAACGAUAGCUAAUACCGCAUAACAGUAGAUGUUGCAUGACAUUUGCUUAAAAGGUGCAAUUGCACCACUACCAGAUGGACCUGCGUUGUAUUAGCUAGUUGGUGGGGUAACGGCUCACCAAGGCGACGAUACAUAGCCGACCUGAGAGGGUGAUCGGCCACACUGAGACUGAGACACGGCCCAGACUCCUACGGGAGGCAGCAGUAGGGAAUCUUCGGCAAUGGACGGAAGUCUGACCGAGCAACGCCGCGUGAGUGAAGAAGGUUUUCGGAUCGUAAAGCUCUGUUGUAAGAGAAGAACGAGUGUGAGAGUGGAAAGUUCACACUGUGACGGUAUCUUACCAGAAAGGGACGGCUAACUACGUG